GAUAAAAGAAACACAUCGAGACAAUUCUAUGCAAGAACAAAAGACUCAAAGGAGGAGAAGAAUGUUUUCAUUCUUCCAAUAUUUCCAGAGGAUAUUCAAAAGACAGAAAAAAGAACAAAAAGAGAAAUCUAAAAUGUCAGUUGCAAAAAGGAAUGAAUCCAGAGAAAAUAUUGCAGCAGAUAAAACAUCAACAGGUUGUUUAAAUAUAGUGUGUUUUAUAAAGUAAAGG
This is a long non-coding RNA of Vombatus ursinus (common wombat), 229 nucleotides long. RefSeq lists it as uncharacterized. NCBI's taxonomy places the organism in Eukaryota, Metazoa, Chordata, Mammalia, Diprotodontia, Vombatidae. The record is from RefSeq and is a predicted model, not a curated record. The transcript is spliced from 3 exons.